AGUGUACAGGAUGAUGCUCCAAGCAACUGAGCCACACUGUCCAGGGCCCAGUUUGGGUCUUUUUGCACUGCAUAUUCUAAUUCUCAGGCCACCUCCCUCCAAUUAGGAAUCUUUCAUAAUGUAUGUCUAUAUCACCAAUAUUUGGGGUUCUCUUACCAAUUUUAUUUUCUUAACAUUUAUUUAAAAUGGAUAUGAUUUUUAUACUUAUGAUGGUGGAGUGGUGAAUAUUAAAAAUGAGUAUUAAACAAAGUAAAUGCAUGAGGCAAUGCUAAAAACUAAAAAAGUAGAUUUAACUCAUUUUUAAUGGUAACCACAACAAAAAUCUAAAUUAAAAGGUAUAGAACCACUUUAAAACUUCUCACUUGAUUCUGUUUUUCUUCUCCUGAUGCACACUUUUCUCAAGUUCAAGUUCAAUUUUGAGAAAAAUUUGUUCAGUCUUAACUGAAAUCAUAAAACUAAUUCUCAAUUAUAAGCAUGCUGUUACCAUCUCUAAAAUCUAGAUGAAUCUGGGCAAUCAUGGAGGAAAUUGUUAAGCUCUCUAGAGCUUUAGCAAUGCUUUUGUUGUUCUGACAAGCCAGUCAGGUUGUGAAAAACAUAUCUAGGUAAUUGGGUCCCUCAAGAAAAAAACUUAUUUGUGUGCUACCUAUGGAUGAAGAAACCCAUUAAGAAAACAAUUCAGUAGUUUGGAUCCCACUUAAAACUUCCAGAAUUUUUUUCUCCAUAAGUGUUUUUACCAAACUAGCACUAUUUUAAUUAAAAAGCAUUUACUCACUGCCAUUUUAGUGUAUUUUACAGGGAUAAAAAGAGUGAUUUAAAAAAAAAAGCCUGUGUAUUCAAGCCAUGAGUUUUUUAUUUACCUUUCAUGUAUGGUUUUAAUACAGAUUCUAAAUCUGAGUUUUGACAACCAUUCAAAGUAAUGUUCAUAUAUCUGUUUUGCGUUUCCUUUUAAAACACUCUCAAGUCACAUCUUAGAAAAUGACCCAUCAGAUGAGAUUAACUUUUGAGUUUACAUGCUGCCUCGGGUUAUAUUUAGUGCUACUGUCAAAAGAUUUUAUGGGUCUGCAGAUCUUUCAACUUCAUUCACAUUUUUUUGGCAAGAUUUUUUCUGUGUGUUAUAUUUGUUUCCUCUUGUCAAGUUUCUGACUACUUGAUGCUUAUAAAUGUAUAUAUUUAUAUCUGUGAUGUGAUCCUCAAUACUCGUCUUGCACCAUUUUAUUUUUGACAGUAAGAAGUUAGUUUGUACCAGGACUUGGGCUGAACAAAAUAUGUGUCCAUGCACGUUACGUGUUUUGAGAGGUUGCCCUUUCUCUGGAGAGCAUUUCUAUUUGUGGAUGAGUGUGCUUAGAGUUUCGUGUAUGAGCUACCAGAGAAAGAAGAGUUGUAGCCACAGGAACUCAUCCUUCAUCCACUUGCCCCCUGUCUUCAACCAGACAAGAGGAAAUUCCAGAACCAUUUUCAACCUGUUUUCAAACAAAAGACUGUAGAAAAAUCAUUCAUAAAAAAGAGGAAACCCUAAUCUGAAAAAGUUGGACACUUUCAUUAAUUUUGUUCUGUCUGUUUACAUUUGAAAUCUUUGGGAAAGCAAGUUUAUUUUUGCCAUUUAAAAGGACAUUAGUACGGGCUUCAUAGUUGACCUAGUCCAAUAGUUUAAGUUAAAAGUUUGGGAAAAUGGUGGGUUUUCCCCUUUUUCAUUUGAACAACUGCUUUGUAAAUAAAUGUCCGUGCCUGGCCAGUACUGCAACUGGCUGAAAGACAGAAUGUUUAGGACAGUUCUCUGAUCUUUAUUGAGAAAAAAUUCCAAUUAUGUGCUUUACUCUGCAGGAUGCAAGGAGGCAGCCCUCACCAAAACCUCCAAUGUGAUCUCCAUAUGGACUUCAUGCCCUUAAAAUAACUCUUUCUAAUCUUCUCUCUUACAAUGUUCCAGAUUUAAAUUCCAUCUGUACCCACCUUUAGCUCCUUUGCUGCCACUCCAGGGCUGAGUCCACAUGAAUAAUCUCUCAUCUGUGAGGCUGGGUCAAGCCUGAAGGAUAACUUAAGAAAACACCCUAUCCGUAAGGUUGAACUUAGCUUUCUGGGUUUCAGAAUGGAUGUUCUUUGCUUGAAAGCUACCACAAUGUCGACCUGAAUGUUUUCAUCUUAGACCAUGGUGCAACUUGAAUAACUGCUCUGUUCUAAAAUAACAAAUACUGUAUUAUUGGGGAACUCUUCAUGCCCCUGAGAAGCUCCACCUGGAGGACGAGCCUGGAGCACAUCUUCGUGGCAGUGGUUGUGGCUCUAGGGGAUUGUUGGGGCCGGAAGUAACUGGACAUUGAGGGUGGUGCUGAAAACUUAUGCCUGAUAAAAACUUGCACAGGGAUGUUUACAGCAGCUUUAUUCAUAGUUACCAAAACUUGGAAGCAAAUAAGAUGGCCCUCAGCAAGUGAAUGGAUAAACCGUGGUACCUACAGGCAAUGUAAUGUUAUUCAACACUGAAAAUAAGCAAGUUAUCAAGCCAUGAAAACACAUGAAGGAAACUUAACUGCAUAUUACUAGGUGAAAGAAGCCAGUCUGAAGGGGCCACAUAACUACAUGAUUCCAACUAUAUGCUGUUAUGGGGAAGGCAAACUAUGGAGGCAGUAAAAUGACCAGGAUUGUGAGCGUGGCAGGAACAAAUAGGCAGAGCACAGAGGAUUUUUAGGAAAGCAGAAUUAUUCUGUGUGCUACUACAAUGAUGGAUACUUGUUGUACACAUAUGUGAAAACCCAUAGAAUGUAAAAUGCCAAGAGUGAAUCAGGUGUAAAAACCACACCACUCCGGUGGGGAUAGUGACAGAUGGGAGGCUACACACGUGUCGGGAGGAAAAGGUGUUUGGGAACUUGGAACUUUCCAUUUCGUUUCUGCUCAGUUUUACGGUGUAUCUAGAAUUUCUCCCCCGAACCAAAAAAAAAAAGAGACAUUGAUUAAUGAACAAAAAUUGCUGAUGGGUAUUCAGAAUUGAGAAACCCUUUGAUAUACUGGAAAUAACACGGCCCUUGAAUCACAGAGAGAGAAUUUCAAUCUUGACCCUUCCACUAAUAACUGUGAAAUUCAACUUCUCUGGGUCCCAUUUUUCUCAGGAACAAAUUAGGUGAAUAAUUGUUCAGGAUGGACAUAAGAAGUAGCUGAGAUAACCUCUUACAUGCUCAAUGAACAUUACAGUAGCUGUUAUUUGUAAUUUGCUUUGGGCUGGGGACCCAGUGAGUCUUUACAUCAGAGGCAGAACAAGGAGGCCCUCAAAGACCACAGACAAACCUGCACCCUUUCAGAGGCAGGAUGCAGCAGAUGGAGAAAAGAUUAAGUCUGACCAGUCUCAUGUACAUUGUGUUUUAACAUUUCACUUUUUUCUCCAGCAGUGAUGAUGUGAGAUCUCCUUAGAUAAACUGAUGCUAUUUCUAAAAAAAAUGGAUACUUGAAAAAGUAUUGGAAAUGAUCGAGAACUGGAAUUACUUACACACAGAAAGUAUUUCUUGAUGAGAUUUCCCUUCAAAUAUUAGGAACUUGACUACUAUUUCCAAAAGUAGAAGAAAGAAAAAUACAUACAUGAAAAACAUUGCAAGGAAGUAUUUUUAGUAUAUUGGAUCCUAGUCACUAGUCUUAUUGAGAAAUUAAGCUUACACUGAGGUGCAUCAAUGGAGAGCAAGGACAGGGCGAGUGUACUGAGAAAUACACAGAGAGAAAUUAAGGCAUUUGCGAGGAGUGGGUCACCAUAAAACCUGUCAAAUGGCUUUUCCAUGUUUUCCUUUACACCAUACCAAAAAUCCCCACUUAAAAAACAAAAACAAUACCCAGUGCUAGAACUUGCUAGUCUGCCACAAAGACCAUCCCUUCUAUUUUCCUUCCUAACAGUCCUCCCACCCUCUUUUUGUUAAUAUGCCCUUUGCCCCUUCCACCCCAUGGCCUUCAGUUCUGGGGAUCCGUGUCACUGCUGUAAGAUGAUCCUUUCCUUUGUCAGUGAUGGCUUCACAAAUCGGCCUGUGAUGUGGCUCAGUUUGUGCCAAUGAGACCUGAGGAAGGUUUGCUAAGUGCUUCAGGAAAAGAAAUUCCCUUGCUCUUAAGAAAGACCCACUUGACAGGAAUAUUCUCUCUUUCUCUGGUCAUCAUGGAGGUGCAGACUAGAGCUCAGAACUAACACAGCUCUUUUUCUACCAUGCAGAAGCUAAUCUAAGGGUGAGGGUAAUUCACAGUAGAGGACUCAGUGGCAGGAAUUAUAGAGAAAUAGGACUGGAGUGAGUGGCUUCUUCCAAACCAAUGCUAUGGCUUGCUCUGGAAUUCUAGGUAUGUGAGCCAAUGCCUAUGCUCACCUGAGCGGGCUUAUGUCAGUUUUUGUUUGCUGCUGAAAGCAUUCUAGUUAAUAUCAGCCAACUAAUGAACUGUUACAAAUGGUUAUUUCUGAUAUGUUGGCUUUUAUUAAUGUUGUGCAUGAAAAUUUCAACAAAGAUAUUAUGAGAGCUUGAAGAUCACAGCCCAGGAUAAAGAAAACCAGGAAUUUAAUACACAAGGAAAAUAAUUCUGAAAAGGCAGCUGAUUCGCCUGUCGGAAGCUCCCACCAUUCAUUUUUGAAGGAUUAAACUGUUAUACUAAUGUCCUUUUGAUUCACUUUUCUUUUGACAGUCUUGUGAAUUGUUAUGUGACCUCAUACCCAUCUGGGUUAGAGACAUAACAGAAAUGCCGUGAAUAAUCAUGUAAGAGAAGUGGAAUAGAUUUAAUGUGACUUAAUCAUAUCACAGAAAAUGGGAGCUAAGUAAUGCUGACAGUUAUAGCAAAGUGAUGGCAGGGAAUUCUUUAUCAGUGGGUUUGAGGCAACGUGGAAACUACAUAUAACAGCAUUUUAAGACUAGGCUUUCAAACAGAUAUUUUUUUAAAAGGAUGGGAUAUGUUAUCACAUUGUGAAGAUAUAAAAUGUGUUAUCAAAUUACAAAGAUAGAAUUACACUAUUUUCCAUGAUAUGAAAACAACCUGUCUAUAGUUUUCAGUAUAUAAUUAAUUUUCAACAUAAUGGAAAACAGUGCACAUUCCCUAGACACUCUGAAUAGCCUUCACAUACUUUGAAUUUUACUUAUAAACUUUCUUAAUGGGAGUGGAAUUAGAAUGUAACUAAUGUAGAAUAAAUGCAAUAUGUCA
This is a long non-coding RNA of Phyllostomus discolor (pale spear-nosed bat), 5139 nucleotides long. RefSeq lists it as uncharacterized. Lineage: Eukaryota; Metazoa; Chordata; Mammalia; Chiroptera; Phyllostomidae. The transcript has 2 exons. The record is from RefSeq and is a predicted model, not a curated record.